Molecule: long non-coding RNA, 1005 nt
Organism: Symphalangus syndactylus (siamang)
Lineage: Eukaryota; Metazoa; Chordata; Mammalia; Primates; Hylobatidae
Source: RefSeq, a predicted model, not a curated record
ACAGGGAAAGAAAACAGGCCCCAGUAAUGAGGACCUAGAAGAAGAUGAGCCUUCUGAGAACAGUGCUGGAGGGAAGUAAAGCCUUCUCAGCAAUACAAUUGACCAAUCCUCUAUAUUUACAGGAAACUGAACAACGCAGAGAGAAGCAGAAACUGAGACCAGAGUAUACAACCCCAUCCCAGCACGACAGCUUAUGUCAAGAAGGGGUCUGCAGAGCCUACAGAGCAUAUGAGAUAAACUGGUGUUGGCAACUCUGUGGUCAUUAUCAGGGCCUAGUUCAGGCCAGGGCAAAGACAAUGAGCUAAGGGUCUUCACCGGCUCCUUACCAAAGGGGACCUGAAAAUGGGAUACAAACUUCACUGUAUUCCAUCCUACAGUAGUACCCCAUACUACAGCAUGCAGUAUCUAUAUUUAUGAUAAGCUAAAGUUUAUUAUUUAAUACAGUUCUCAGUCAAUGGCAUGUAUUUGGCUAUUGCAUCCAUGUGCUUGUUUUCUCAAAGAACCUGAAGUUAGAGGGUCCCUGUAAACACGGGUACAAAUGGGCAACUAGACUCGACAUAGCAAGUGCUUCAUACACACUGAUAGACAGACCACAAUAAGACUUCUGGAAAGAAGGUUAACAACAGCACUGACAGUGGUCAGUGGGGAACCAUUUUGAAUUAGGCCUCCAGAUGAGAAGCCGUGAAAAGAACUCUGAGAGACGCCACCUUGUUCUUGUGAACUGAAUGAGCAAAGCUCAGCGCAGCAAGGCUCUUGCAAUGGCAACCCAUCCUCUCCCUAAGAAACAGGAUUUACAUGCUAGAAAGCAAAGCGCGUGACUCAGCUCCGAGAGAAAAAUCCAUACGAAGAAAAAAUGCUCUCAAUCACAAAAAUGUUCUGGUUGGGUCUUACACACUGAUUAAGAGUCCCCACCAGCAAGAAGGCUCCCACAAGAUGCAGCCUCUCAACCUUGGACUUCUCAGUCUCAAGAACUAUAAGAAAUAAAUUCCUUUUCUUUAUAAAUUA